ACAGUCAUCAGUGACAUUAAAGAUGUGGUUUGUGACCUCAGACAUGAGAUAAAAGCUUCACGCAGGCACAGUCAGGAGCUGAAGCAAGACUUCUACAACAGUGACGUCUCAGAGACGUCCUCUUUCUGUGGCCUCACACAGUCCUAUCGAGCUGAAGACAUCCUCAGCCCAUCUGUGUUAGUGGUGGAGACGGUUGACCAUGAGGUGGAACGAACACGAAAUCUGCCAAAUGGAUUAUAUGGCCACGCCAAGUCUACUGUAAAAACACCAUUCACAAGAUCAUGACCUGCCAAGGCUGACAGAAGGCAACAAAUCACGCAUUGUACGGCACAGGCACUGAGGACGUACAGGGCAUCACAGCAGGCUAUGCAGGAUGACUGUCCUAUUGAGAUAUUCCUGCAGCUUCUGUCUCUUCUUUCUCCUUCCUUUGAGGAUGCAAACUGCACAUUCAGCUCCAGAUUUCUCUUUGUAUCUUGAUAACAUCCUGAAGAACCAGACUGCUCAUGCCUGUGAAGGAGACACUCUAUCCAUUAAAUGUCCCUCCAGGAUGACUGUGGCCGUGCUGUCAGCUUUCUAUGGAUUCCAUGUCCACAGUCAGUAUGUGUUCGUGUGUCCUUCUGCCAGCGCCAACACAACCAUGGAGGAGGAUGCACAAUGUACAUCCCAAGCUGUGGAAACCUCACAAUGAGAUCAAAGUCAACAUGUGUUUUGUCUUUUGUUUCAAUGAAAUGUAUCAUGACCAAUAAUUUCUGUCCAAUUGUUUAUCAGUCACGUGUGUAUUUUUCCUGAACGUGCAGAAAGUCAUGUCCAAGCGUCAGGAUCGCCACUCCUGCCACAUUCCUGUC
RNAcentral lists this long non-coding RNA (845 nucleotides) under Gouania willdenowi (blunt-snouted clingfish). Its description in RNAcentral is "lncRNA (ENSGWIG00000023959.1)". The record is from RNAcentral. Lineage: Eukaryota; Metazoa; Chordata; Actinopteri; Blenniiformes; Gobiesocidae.